This 253-nucleotide ribosomal RNA is filed under the name uncultured microorganism. RNAcentral describes it as "partial small subunit ribosomal RNA". It matches the Rfam family "Bacterial small subunit ribosomal RNA", at positions 524 to 776 of the family's 1533-position model. The record is from RNAcentral.
UACGUAGGUGACAAGCGUUAUCCGGAAUUACUGGGCGUAAAGCGCACGCAAGCGGUCUGUCAAGUCUGGCGUGAAAUCUCUUGGCUUAACCAGGAGCGGUCGCUGGAAACUGAUGGGCUUGAGGCGAUGAGAGGAGUGCGGAAUCCCCGGUGUAGUGGUGGAAUGCGUAGAUAUCGGGGGGAACACCAGUGGCGAAAGCGGCACUCUGGCGUCGGCCUGACGCACAUGUGCGAAAGCGUGGGGAGCGAACGGG